RNAcentral lists this long non-coding RNA (505 nucleotides) under Drosophila guanche. Lineage: Eukaryota; Metazoa; Arthropoda; Insecta; Diptera; Drosophilidae. The record is from RNAcentral.
CUACAUAAGAGCAAAUUAUUCGGGUAAAAAUCGAAAUUAAAAUCUACAUUCGAAAUGAUUAUAAAAGGGAACAUAGAAACAAAUAACUAAGACGGUGUGUAAUCGGUAAUAGGAUUGAGUUAUUUAAUGCUCCACGUUUCUCUGUUCUUCUGUUCUUUUAGUAAGGAUAUGCAAACACACACACGAGUAAAAACUUCUUGGAUCGCCCUGUAAAAUGAUGUGACGCUCUCCGUUAGAUGGGCAGGGGGAAACGACACUUCAUACAGACUUGCCACUACGAAUCACAAGCAGUCACAAUUUCAACACAUUCCGGCUCAAAUUUGAACCACUGAAUAAAAAAUGGCCAUUCUUAACGGACAGCGUACAUCUUUUGACGGGGUAAGUUGAAGACAUAAGCAAUAGUGGCUGAUGUAGAGUUAACAUUAUUUUUCUAUUUCCAUUUACAGCUUCUCUUUCUCACACAACUUUGUCUUAUUGAAAGACUUUCACACGAUUUAAAUAUUGU